UCAUGGUGGUCCCUAGGUGAUUGUAACUGUUCCCCACCUGGAUUGAAGGGAAGGGGGGGCUUCAUUUAUUGCCACUCACCCUCCUCCUCCCCCCUCCCACUCCUUCCUCGUGUGUUUGUAUAUUGCCAAUGUAGCCAAUUUGCAUCCAUCAUGGAAUUCAAAUUUGGGUCUUGGAGAGGGGGAUUGAGGUCUUGGAGAGGGGGAUGGAUGAAAUGGAUGAAAAUCUGUUAGGGGGGUAUUGGAUGUCCAACUGUGGUGAUUCUAACUGAUCCUCUUCCAAUGCCUACAAUUGGUUUGACAGUUGAUGUGUAUGAUGGAAUACAGUGACUUUCACAAUGUAAGCAAAUUUAAUUUAAUUUUCCAAUAAUAUAUGUUGAUAUUUAUAUUUUUUUACGGCCUAAUUUAUCUGUCUAAAUUUAAAAUCUACAAACAAACUAUAAGUAUAUUUAGAAAGAAAUGCAAGAGGAAGUAUUAAGCUAGAUAGAUGGAUCAU
RNAcentral lists this long non-coding RNA (493 nucleotides) under Physcomitrium patens. Its description in RNAcentral is "long non-coding RNA (PPAT_LNC003778)". Lineage: Eukaryota; Viridiplantae; Streptophyta; Bryopsida; Funariales; Funariaceae. The record is from RNAcentral.